Molecule: ribosomal RNA, 253 nt
Filed under: uncultured bacterium
Lineage: Bacteria
Description: partial 16S ribosomal RNA
Rfam family: Bacterial small subunit ribosomal RNA
Source: RNAcentral
UACAGAGGGUGCGAGCGUUAAUCGGAAUUACUGGGCGUAAAGCGCGCGUAGGCGGCUUUGCAAGUCGGGUGUGAAAUCCCCAGGCUUAACCUGGGAACUGCAUUCGAGACUGCAUUGCUAGAGUAUGGGAGAGGGAAGUGGAAUUUCCGGUGUAGCGGUGAAAUGCGUAGAUAUCGGAAGGAACAUCAGUGGCGAAAGCGACUUCCUGGACCAAUACUGACGCUAAUGUGCGAAAGCGUGGGGAGCAAACAGG